GACAGAGGAGCCAAGCGUUGUCCGGAUUGACUGGGCGUAAAGCGCACGCAGGCGGCCCGGCGCGUGGGGUGUGAAAGCUGGCGGCUUAACUGCCAGACGCCAUCCCAUACGGCUGGGCUCGAGCCCUGCAGAGGUCCAGGGAAUUGCCGGUGUAGUGGUGAAAUGCGUAGAGAUCGGCAGGAACACCCAGGGGGAAACCAGUGGACUGGGCAGGAGCUGACGCUCAGGUGCGAAAGCGUGGGGAGCGAACCGG
This 253-nucleotide ribosomal RNA is filed under the name uncultured bacterium. RNAcentral describes it as "partial 16S ribosomal RNA". It matches the Rfam family "Bacterial small subunit ribosomal RNA", at positions 524 to 776 of the family's 1533-position model. The record is from RNAcentral.